Molecule: ribosomal RNA, 412 nt
Filed under: Schistocerca lineata (birdwing grasshopper)
Lineage: Eukaryota; Metazoa; Arthropoda; Insecta; Orthoptera; Acrididae
Description: partial 16S ribosomal RNA
Source: RNAcentral
UUAUUUAUUUUAUUAUAUUUAUUUUUUGUUUAUUUAAUUAUUUAAUAGAAAUAAUUUUAUUGAAUUUUGUCUUARUAUAUUUUGUAGAAUUGAUUUUUUAAAUUAUAGUUUAUUGGUAAUGUAAUUGUUUUAUGAAAUAUUAUUUUAAAUUUUUAAAAGUAUAUUUUAUUUAUUGUACCCUUUUGUAUCAGGGUUUAUCAAAUUUUAGUAUUUAAUUUACUUGKCUCAUUUGGGKUGAUUUAUAAAUAAUUUAMGUUAAUGKAUCAUAAUUAUUAUUAAAUUAUUUAUUGAAAUGAAAUGUUAAUGGUUUCCMAGAUAUCUAGUUUCUUAAGAAAAAUUUUAAUUUUUUAAAGKUAAKUGKUUUUAUUUAAUUUUUUAAUUAUAAAUAUUAACUUAUUUAUUCUUUAAGGGA